This is a non-coding RNA of Ameiurus melas (black bullhead), 72 nucleotides long. Lineage: Eukaryota; Metazoa; Chordata; Actinopteri; Siluriformes; Ictaluridae. The record is from the annotation of a GenBank genome assembly.
UGCACGGUGGAUUAGUGGUUAGUUCGGUUGCCUCACAUUGCCAGGGUCGGGGGAUCGAUUCUCUCCGUGGAG